This is a non-coding RNA of Punica granatum (pomegranate), 685 nucleotides long. Lineage: Eukaryota; Viridiplantae; Streptophyta; Magnoliopsida; Myrtales; Lythraceae. The record is from RefSeq and is a predicted model, not a curated record.
GAAAACGGUGGUUGGGGGGGGGGACGUACGGAGAGGAAGGGAAGGCGGGCCGGUGGUCAUCUCCUCUCCCCCGCCAGCCACCAGCCGACGCCGCGGAAUCGCCGGCACCAUUGAAGCCGUCGCCGACCUCGUGAGGGUGGCUAGUGGCCAGUAUCUAGAAAAGAGAGGGUACAUGGGAGAGGAGAGGGAUCUGGAUCGGGGGUCGCCGCCAGCCAAUGAUUCUUCCUUUUGUUCUUGAUAACCAUCAUUCGUGUUGAUGCUAAGAAAUCAGCAGAGUCGAACUUUUCGGCAGCGCCUCCAAGGAAGCGAGACAUGGGCUGGAAACGUAGAGGAAGCAGCAGACUGGGGGAAUGGUUGUCGCCACUGGCCACCAGCCACCUCACGAGAUCGCCGGCUACUUCAACGGUGCCGACCUGGGGGCCGGCAGUGGAGAGGAGAUGACCACCAGCCCGUCUUUCUUCUUCCUCUUUCUAAUAAUAAAAUUAGAAAUGCCUUAAAUAUUUAUAGUAAUAGAGUUAUUAUAUGUUAUCUUUGUAAAAAUCUUAAAAUUCAUAACUUUAAUGGGCCUUGAUUAGUUAGGUUUAAUUAAAGACAUAUUGUACUUUUAAUUUAGUAGGUUAUUGUUAUCAAAUUAUAUGUUCUUUUUAUAAUUGUGAAUAAAAUAUUAUCUUUUUUAGUCGUAAAA